GGCCGGGUCCCAUGCAACGACGAACCGGCGAAUCCCGCCAGGUCCGGAAGGAAGCAACGGUAGUCAGGAUUCGCGUGUGCCGUGGGGUGCCUGGCCUUU
Molecule: signal recognition particle RNA, 99 nt
Filed under: Verrucomicrobiota bacterium
Lineage: Bacteria; Pseudomonadati; Verrucomicrobiota
Also listed under: 2 other names
Description: signal recognition particle sRNA small type
Rfam family: Bacterial small signal recognition particle RNA
About the family: The signal recognition particle (SRP) is a universally conserved ribonucleoprotein involved in the co-translational targeting of proteins to membranes. Archaeal SRP consists of a 7S RNA and homologues of the eukaryotic SRP19 and SRP54 proteins. In most bacteria, the SRP consists of a 4.5S RNA and the Ffh protein (a homologue of the eukaryotic SRP54 protein).
Source: RNAcentral